UAACAGUACCGGAAACGGGUGACUAAUACCGCAGUUAGUUUUCUUAGAUCGCAGUGAGUACGGGAAAGGAAAGUACGGCCUUUUGUGCUGUCGCUUAUGGAUGGACCCGCGGCGUAUUAGUUAGUUGGUGAGGUAACGGCUCACCAAGACGAUGAUACGUAGCCGACCUGAGAGGGUGAUCGGCCACAUUGGGACUGAGACACGGCCCAAACUCCUACGGGAGGCAGCAGUAGGGAAUCUUCCGCAAUGGACGAAAGUCUGACGGAGCAACGCCGCGUGAGUGAAAGAAGGUUUUCGGAUCGUAAAACUCUGUUGUCAGAGAAGAACAAGUUGGAGAGUAACUGCUCCAGCCUUGACGGUAUCUGACCAGAAAGCCACGGCUAACUACGUGCCAGCCGCCGC
RNAcentral lists this ribosomal RNA (402 nucleotides) under uncultured bacterium. RNAcentral describes it as "bacterial SSU rRNA". It matches the Rfam family "Bacterial small subunit ribosomal RNA", at positions 142 to 518 of the family's 1533-position model. The record is from RNAcentral.